Molecule: ribosomal RNA, 426 nt
Filed under: uncultured bacterium
Lineage: Bacteria
Description: bacterial SSU rRNA
Rfam family: Bacterial small subunit ribosomal RNA
Source: RNAcentral
GAAUUUUGGGCAAUGGGCGAAAGCCUGACCCAGCAACGCCGCGUGAGGGAUGAAGGCCUUCGGGUCGUAAACCUCUGUCAGGAGGGAAGAACGGUUGGCGGUCGAACAGGCCGUCGAUUUGACGGUACCUCCAAAGGAAGGACCGGCUAACUCCGUGCCAGCCGCCGCGGUAAUACGGAGGGUCCAAGCGUUGUUCGGAAUCAUUGGGCGUAAAGCGGGUGUAGGUGGCUUGGCAAGUCGGGUGUGAAAUCCCAAGGCUCAACCUUGGAACUGCAUUCGAAACUUCCUGGCUAGAGUCCCGGAGGGGAUGGCGGAAUUCCCGGUGUAGAGGUGAAAUUCGUAGAUAUCGGGAGGAACACCAGUGGCGAAGGCGGCCAUCUGGACGGUGACUGACACUAAGACCCGAAAGCGUGGGUAGCGAACAGG